RNAcentral lists this ribosomal RNA (492 nucleotides) under uncultured bacterium. Its description in RNAcentral is "partial 16S ribosomal RNA". It matches the Rfam family "Bacterial small subunit ribosomal RNA", at positions 29 to 507 of the family's 1533-position model. The record is from RNAcentral.
AGUGAACGCUGGCGGUAGGCCUAACACAUGCAAGUCGAACGGCAGCACAGUAAGAGCUUGCUCUUACGGGUGGCGAGUGGCGGACGGGUGAGGAAUACAUCGGAAUCUACUUUUUCGUGGGGGAUAACGUAGGGAAACUUACGCUAAUACCGCAUACGGCCUACGGGUGAAAGCAGGGGAUCUUCGGACCUUGCGCGAUUGAAUGAGCCGAUGUCGGAUUAGCUAGUUGGCGGGGUAAAGGCCCACCAAGGCGACGAUCCGUAGCUGGUCUGAGAGGAUGAUCAGCCACACUGGAACUGAGACAAGGUCCAGACUCCUACGGGAGGCAGCAGUGGGGAAUAUUGGACAAUGGGCGCAAGCCUGAUCCAGCCAUACCGCGUGGGUGAAGAAGGCCUUCGGGUUGUAAAGCCCUUUUGUUGGGAAAGAAAAGCAGCAGGUUAAUACCCCGCUGUUCUGACGGUACCCAAAGAAUAAGCACCGGCUAACUUCGUG